AAGAACUUCCUCCGGGCAGCUGUUGCUCCUUCAGCCUGGGCCCCAGAGUAAACACACAUGCCAACAGCCCAGUCUACAGUCUGGAGCCAAGUAUAGCUGAGCUGCAGCCUGAAACAGAGCUCCCCAGCCUAGCCCAGACUAAACCAGCCAAACCACAAUCCAUCUUGCAGACUCAUCUCUGAAAACACUCAAUUUUAAUUACUGAAAAAUAAUCCAUCACAAUCUAUUUAACUUUUCUCCUAUUGAAGUCAUCAGAAAGGACUUCUAGAUUGGGCAUCUUCAUAUGUGCAGCAUUCUCAAGACUAUCACCUCGCAGGAGAGUCGGCAGAGCUGCCAUCACUUCUUCAGCUGGACCAGUCUGUGAGGGUGCUUGGCUGCUCAUGAAGCAA
This 389-nucleotide long non-coding RNA is filed under the name Equus caballus (horse). Its description in RNAcentral is "lncRNA (ENSECAG00000059915.1)". Lineage: Eukaryota; Metazoa; Chordata; Mammalia; Perissodactyla; Equidae. The record is from RNAcentral.